GAUUGGUUCUGCCGUGGUAGGGUGUGCGUGAGGUGGAAGAAGGGCUGUUCCUCCACGGCACGGUGGAGGAGUUCUGAAGUCCUAAAGUUGGGGCAGGACCUGCAGCAUGGUCGGAGAAGGGGCAAGAGGCCCGGCGGGAAGAAGCAGCAAGAGUAAGACAAGUAGGUCAGGGCCUGCUUAGUACUGAGGGCCAGACGGCCAGAACGAGCGUCGGGAGACAGGAGGAGUGUCCGGGGUUUUCGCCCUCCUUUUUUCUCUUACCAAACCCAAAUGGUCCUGCUCCCCAGGUAGGCUGAGGAUACAGCAGAGAAAAUGUGUUUAGCCCCUUAAAGAGAUAGGGGGCUGUGGGUUUGCUAUUUUUAAGAAAGCAAACGGCUUUGGAGUCUAAAAGGCUAAGCUUCCUGCCCUCCCACUGAGGGUCUACCUGAGGAGGUCUAGACUUGCCUGCAAAGAAGGUAGACUUGAGGGUAAUAGUGGAAAGACAAGUAGCCCCUAUUCAUCGGCCUUCCUCACCCCCUUCUCUUGACUCCAGCUGUUGGCUUCUGUGUGACUAGGGAGAUCAGAGACCACUCACAGAGGCCUGAUCAAGAGAGAAGCUAACACAAAGGAGACCAAAGAUGAGAACCCUGAACUCUUAGCCCCUUUUUUUCCUUCAGUGGGUUCGUUGUCACUUUCAACCAAAAGAUUCCUGACUAAAGCAGACUUAGCAUACAGCAAGGCUCUGUCCUGUUUUGUCCCUGCUUACUUCAACCUCAUCUGGGUCACUCCACCCCCAGCUCCACAUUCCAACUAUUGGCAAGGUCUUCAGGAUCCUUGAACAUCUUAUCCGUCCCAUCAUCCCCCACACUUCAGGGACUUAAAUGCAUGGUUCUCUUGGGCUCUUUUAUAACCCAUGUUCCCCUCAUCACCUUCUACUUAACUUUGAGCAUUUGGCAGGAAUGUCAAUUCCUUAAGGAAGCUGCGCCUGACCAAGAACUAGAUCAGAUACUUUGUUAUAUGUUUCCAGAGCAUGUCCAAUGAAUAAAUGAAUCCACCUGAGGCAGUGGCUGCCUCUCUAGAUUAUGAAUCAACACAGUGCCUGGCAUAUUAUUAUAAGGGCUCAACAG
RNAcentral lists this long non-coding RNA (1106 nucleotides) under Homo sapiens (human). Its description in RNAcentral is "non-protein coding lnc-UBE2Q1-1:6". The record is from RNAcentral. Lineage: Eukaryota; Metazoa; Chordata; Mammalia; Primates; Hominidae.